GGCAAAAUUUCAUUCAUGUUAUUGGAACUUCAUUUUAGAACCCUUUUGGAAAAUGAGACUUUAUUUGACAAAUGAGAACUCUCGUUAUCAUAAUCAUUGUUUUUGAUAAUUUUUCUUCUAGUUUUGAUAUUGAUUUCAGGAGACCGCCUGGAGAACAGGGUGAGAAAAUUGUAAGUCGGCUACCCGCUCAGAGAAUAAGGUGAUAAAAUUAAAAGUCAGGAGCCCGCCUGGAGAACAGGGUGAGAAAAUUACAAAUUGGGAGCUCGCUCAGAGAACAGGGUGAUGAAAUUGAAAGUUGGAAGCCCGCCCGUAGAAUAGGGCGAUGAAAUUGAAAGUUAGGAGCCUACCUGGAGAACAGGGUGAGGAAACUGCAAGUGGGGAGCCUGCCUGGAGAAUAGGGUGAUGAAAUCGUAAGUCGAGAGCCCACCUGAAGGACAGGGUGAUGAAGUUAGGGGUGUGCAUCGGUCGGUACGAUUUGAUUUUAUGCGUUAUUAGUUCGGUUUAUUGGUUUUUGAUUUUUAAAUAUGUAAAAUCAAUAACCAACCAAUAAGAUAUUUUCUUAUCGGUUUUGGUUUUUUGGUUUUUGGUCCUUAACGAUUCGAUUUUUGAUUUAGCCAAUAAGAAAAUACUUAUAGAAUAGAAAUAGUAACAACUAACAUAAAAAAAAUGAAAUCUUAGUUACCGCCAAAAUCCUACGCAAUGCAUUUUAGUUUGCAAAAAUCUUCAAACUUUAACUGAAUGUUAGUUCGAAAAAAAAUUAAAUCCUAAUUGUUGGAAGCUAUAAAUGCUUCAAGCUUUUCAAUACGAUAAUAGCUGAGUUUUAUAUUAUGCCUUUGUUGACCUGAAUAGGUUAAUUAUAUAUAUAUAGAUAGAGAGAGAGAGAGAGAGAGAGAGAGAUUUAUAUAUAUAACAUAAAUAGGGAUAUAAAACAAUAAUUUAGUGUAUCCUUAUUGGGUUAUCAGUUUAACCAAUAACCUAGUAAGCUAAAACCGAAACCGAACCGUUUACCUAAUAAUUUUUUUUUAUAAAACCAAUAAGAAACCGUUAACCCAAUAACCCAAUACCAAUAACCCAAUUACAUUUUCAUCGGUUCAGUUUAUCGGUCGGUUUGAUUUUUGCACACCCCUAGAUGAAGUUGAAAGUCUAUAGCCUGCCUGAAGAACAUGGUGAGAAAAUUGUAAGUCGGGAGCCUGCCCGGAGAACAGGGUGAUAAAAUUGAAAGUCAAGAGCCUGCAUGGAGAAUAGGGUACGCCCGAAGAAUAAGGUCAGAAGUCCGCCUGAAGAACAAGGUGAAGAGAUUGAAAGUCAACAAGGUGAAGAGAUUGAAAGUCAGGAGCCCGACUAGAGACUAGGGUGAAGAUUUUCAACUUUAAGUCCAUCAGAAGUCCCACAUGAAGAAUAUGGUCAAUGUUCAAGUUUACCCCCAACACCAAAUUUUGCAUGAAGAAAGGAUUCACUUUCAAGUUCAACCCAAACACUUGAAAAAACAUUAAAGACUCAAGCAAGAAUCAAGAGAUGCUGUGUAGAUAUGACUUUUGUAAAUUCGUUUAUCUUUUUAACUUGUAAUUUUUAUUUUUGAUGUAAUGACAAAGCUGCG
This 1597-nucleotide long non-coding RNA is filed under the name Capsicum annuum. RNAcentral describes it as "long non-coding RNA (CANN_LNC002983)". The record is from RNAcentral. Lineage: Eukaryota; Viridiplantae; Streptophyta; Magnoliopsida; Solanales; Solanaceae.